Molecule: ribosomal RNA, 467 nt
Filed under: uncultured bacterium
Lineage: Bacteria
Description: SSU rRNA
Rfam family: Bacterial small subunit ribosomal RNA
Source: RNAcentral
AGGAUGAACGCUAGCGGUUUGCCUAACACAUGCAAGUUGCACGGCGCCAUACCUCUCGGGGUAUGGUGCAGUGGCGGACGGGUGAGUAACGCGUAAGGACCUGCCCCUGGGAGGGGGAUAACAGCUGGAAACGGCUGCUAAUACCCCAUAGCCUGAGGAGGGAAAGGAGAGAUCCGCCCAGGGAGGGGCUUGCGUCUGAUUAGCUAGUUGGGAGGGGUAAUGGCCUCCCAAGGCAACGAUCAGUUGCUGGUCUGAGAGGAUGAUCAGCCACACUGGGACUGAGACACGGCCCAGACUCCUACGGGAGGCAGCAGUGAGGAAUCUUCCGCAAUGGGCGAAAGCCUGACGGGGCAAUGCCGCGUGGAGGAUGAAGGCCCAAUGGGUCGUAAACUUCUUUAGAUCAGAGACGAAGAGAUGACGGUACCUGAAGAACUAAGCAUCGGCUAAACCCGUGCCAGCAGCCGCGU